AACGAACGCUGGCGGCAUGCCUAACACAUGCAAGUCGAACGAGACCUUCGGGUCUAGUGGCGCACGGGUGCGUAACGCGUGGGAACCUGCCCUUAGGUUCGGAAUAACUCCCCGAAAGGGGUGCUAAUACCGGAUAAUGUCUUCGGACCAAAGAUUUAUCGCCUUUGGAUGGGCCCGCGUUGGGUUAGCUAGUUGGUAGGGUAAAAGCCUACCAAGGUGACGAUCCAUAGCUGGUCUGAGAGGAUGAUCAGCCACACUGGGACUGAGACACGGCCCAGACUCCUACGGGAGGCAGCAGUGGGGAAUAUUGGACAAUGGGCGAAAGCCUGAUCCAGCAAUGCCGCGUGAGUGAUGAAGGCCUUAGGGUUGUAAAGCUCUUUUACCCGGGAUGAUAAUGACAGUACCGGGAGAAUAAGCUCCGGCUAACUCCGUG
RNAcentral lists this ribosomal RNA (433 nucleotides) under uncultured bacterium. RNAcentral's name for it is "partial 16S ribosomal RNA". It matches the Rfam family "Bacterial small subunit ribosomal RNA", at positions 29 to 507 of the family's 1533-position model. The record is from RNAcentral.